AACGAACGCUGGCGGCAUGCCUAACACAUGCAAGUCGAACGAAGCCUUCGGGCUUAGUGGCGCACGGGUGCGUAACGCGUGGGAAUCUGCCCUUGGGUUCGGAAUAACAGUUAGAAAUGACUGCUAAUACCGAAUGAUGUCUUCGGACCAAAGAUUUAUCGCCCAAGGAUGAGCCCGCGUCGGAUUAGCUAGUUGGUGAGGUAAAGGCUCACCAAGGCGACGAUCCGUAGCUGGUCUGAGAGGAUGAUCAGCCACACUGGGACUGAGACACGGCCCAGACUCCUACGGGAGGCAGCAGUGGGGAAUAUUGGACAAUGGCGAAAGCCUGAUCCAGCAAUGCCGCGUGAGUGAUGAAGGCCUUAGGGUUGUAAAGCUCUUUUACCCGGGAUGAUAAUGACAGUACCGGGAGAAUAAGCCCCGGCUAACUCCGUGCCAGCAGCCGCGGUAAU
This 449-nucleotide ribosomal RNA is filed under the name uncultured bacterium. RNAcentral's name for it is "bacterial SSU rRNA". It matches the Rfam family "Bacterial small subunit ribosomal RNA", at positions 29 to 524 of the family's 1533-position model. The record is from RNAcentral.